AAAAGACAAAUAGAAAAUAGGGAUAACAUUAAGCACAUAAUUGAGCAAAACCACAUUCCCCCAUGCUAACAUACCUCUGAUUCCAAGAAUUGAACCACUUAGAUAACAUAUUAAUAAGGGGUUCCAAGACACUUCUCGGUUGGGAAUAACUCCAACAUGUAGCCUCAUAUAUUUAAAAGGAAGGCUCUCAAUUUUAUAGUGGAGAAAGUCACCAACAAAUAAAAAAAC
This 228-nucleotide long non-coding RNA is filed under the name Lathyrus oleraceus (garden pea). Its description in RNAcentral is "Pisum sativum (pea) long non-coding RNA (PSAT_LNC023508)". Lineage: Eukaryota; Viridiplantae; Streptophyta; Magnoliopsida; Fabales; Fabaceae. The record is from RNAcentral.